RNAcentral lists this transfer RNA (72 nucleotides) under Lepisosteus oculatus (spotted gar). It matches the Rfam family "tRNA". From Rfam's summary of the family: Transfer RNA (tRNA) molecules are approximately 80 nucleotides in length. Their secondary structure includes four short double-helical elements and three loops (D, anti-codon, and T loops). Further hydrogen bonds mediate the characteristic L-shaped molecular structure. tRNAs have two regions of fundamental functional importance: the anti-codon, which is responsible for specific mRNA codon recognition, and the 3' end, to which the tRNAs corresponding amino acid is attached (by aminoacyl-tRNA synthetases). tRNAs cope with the degeneracy of the genetic code in two manners: having more than one tRNA (with a specific anti-codon) for a particular amino acid; and 'wobble' base-pairing, i.e. permitting non-standard base-pairing at the 3rd anti-codon position. Lineage: Eukaryota; Metazoa; Chordata; Actinopteri; Semionotiformes; Lepisosteidae. The record is from Rfam by way of RNAcentral.
AUAUUGGUGGUUCAGUGGUAGAAUUCUUGCCUACCAUGCAGAAGAGUUUCGGAUUUGAUUCCAGCCAAUAUG